Molecule: non-coding RNA, 24 nt
Filed under: Cricetulus griseus (Chinese hamster)
Lineage: Eukaryota; Metazoa; Chordata; Mammalia; Rodentia; Cricetidae
Source: RNAcentral
CCAGUGAAUGAGGGAACGGAACUG